RNAcentral lists this transfer RNA (65 nucleotides) under Bemisia tabaci. RNAcentral describes it as "tRNA-Ala". Lineage: Eukaryota; Metazoa; Arthropoda; Insecta; Hemiptera; Aleyrodidae. The record is from RNAcentral.
AGGAUAAGAGUUUAACAAAACAUAUAAGUUGCAAUUAUAAAAAAAACUACACUGUUUUUAUCUUA